This 429-nucleotide ribosomal RNA is filed under the name Chloroflexota bacterium. RNAcentral's name for it is "Chloroflexi bacterium partial 16S ribosomal RNA". It matches the Rfam family "Bacterial small subunit ribosomal RNA", at positions 355 to 776 of the family's 1533-position model. Lineage: Bacteria; Bacillati; Chloroflexota. The record is from RNAcentral.
UGGGGAAUAUUGCACAAUGGGCGCAAGCCUGAUGCAGCCAUGCCGCGUGUGUGAAGAAGGCCUUCGGGUUGUAAAGCACUUUCAGCGGGGAGGAAGGCGUUGAGGUUAAUAACCUCAUCGAUUGACGUUACCCGCAGAAGAAGCACCGGCUAACUCCGUGCCAGCAGCCGCGGUAAUACGGAGGGUGCAAGCGUUAAUCGGAAUUACUGGGCGUAAAGCGCACGCAGGCGGUCUGUCAAGUCGGAUGUGAAAUCCCCGGGCUCAACCUGGGAACUGCAUUCGAAACUGGCAGGCUAGAGUCUUGUAGAGGGGGGUAGAAUUCCAGGUGUAGCGGUGAAAUGCGUAGAGAUCUGGAGGAAUACCGGUGGCGAAGGCGGCCCCCUGGACAAAGACUGACGCUCAGGUGCGAAAGCGUGGGGAGCAAACAGG